Molecule: non-coding RNA, 198 nt
Filed under: Provencibacterium sp.
Lineage: Bacteria; Bacillati; Bacillota; Clostridia; Eubacteriales; Oscillospiraceae
Description: 6S RNA
Rfam family: 6S / SsrS RNA
About the family: E. coli 6S RNA was the first non coding RNA to be sequenced, but its function was unknown until recently. It consists of 184 nucleotides that fold into an extended hairpin structure with a large single-stranded internal bulge.
Source: RNAcentral
AAAUCCCUGCUUUGUGCGGCAGAUAAGCAGUUAUUUAAUCCAACACUUAUUGAUUUGGGAGCCCGGACCUCGGGCGGCGGACUGCAGACCUCCCGGCGUUUUCCCGCCGGACGAAGGGAGCGCGAAACCAUCCGGAGGGCACCCACCUGUCUUCGUACGGGUUUCAUUAAGGCUUAUCACCGGCAACGCGGGGUUUUU